AAAAAUGAUCUAUAUAACCGAUCCAAUUAAUUUGGGACUAAGACUUAGUUGUUGUUGUAUGAUCAUUCUCUUCAAAAGGUGACUAUUGAAAACCAUUUCAUGAACUUUAGUUUUUCUGAUUGAUUUUUUUUGCUUAAUUUGGAUGCUUGAUGCCACAGAAACUCCAAUGAAAACUCAUUAAAAUUCUAAUUUGUGAUCAUGAAUUUAACCCUUGGUCCACCAAGGAUGCUAAUACUCCUAUGUUAAAAUCUAUUUUCGUGCUCAAUGUCAAAUUAUAUUUGUAAGCGCGGGUGAUUUACGCAUUUGAACUUAUCUCAUCACCAUGGCAUGAGGCCUAUUGGAUUUGAAACUUUUUAGAAUAACUUGUGUAUUAGAUGAAGUAAACCAAAUGAGUCUAUUCAUGUGGCUGUUAUGAAGGAGCGAAAGCAUGAAAAACAUAAGUUUAGA
This 447-nucleotide unclassified non-coding RNA is filed under the name Hevea brasiliensis (rubber tree). The record is from RNAcentral. Lineage: Eukaryota; Viridiplantae; Streptophyta; Magnoliopsida; Malpighiales; Euphorbiaceae.